RNAcentral lists this ribosomal RNA (253 nucleotides) under uncultured bacterium. RNAcentral describes it as "partial 16S ribosomal RNA". It matches the Rfam family "Bacterial small subunit ribosomal RNA", at positions 524 to 776 of the family's 1533-position model. The record is from RNAcentral.
UACAGAGGGGGCGAGCGUUGUUCGGAAUUACUGGGCGUAAAGGGCGCGUAGGCGGCCUUCUAAGUCGAACGUGAAAUCCCCGGGCUCAACCCGGGAACUGCGUCCGAUACUGGGAGGCUUGAAUCCGGGAGAGGGAUGUGGAAUUCCAGGUGUAGCGGUGAAAUGCGUAGAUAUCUGGAGGAACACCGGUGGCGAAGGCGGUUCUCUGGGCCUGUACUGACGCUGAGGAGCGAAAGCGUGGGGAGCGAACAGG